AGAAUGCUCUAUAAUCUCCAAAUG
This 24-nucleotide non-coding RNA is filed under the name Arabidopsis thaliana (thale cress). The record is from RNAcentral. Lineage: Eukaryota; Viridiplantae; Streptophyta; Magnoliopsida; Brassicales; Brassicaceae.